AACCUGCCCUUGGGACGGAGAUAACCCCGGCAAACUGGGGCUAAUUUCCGAUAGGUGAAGACUCCUGGAAUGGAUCUUCGCCGAAAGGGCGUCUAGACCAUGCUUCUAGGCGCUGCCCAAGGAUGGGGCCGCGGCCGAUCAGGUUGUUGGUGAGGUAACGGCUCACCAAGCCUUUGACCGGUGCGGGCCGUGAGAGCGGGAGCCCGGAGAUGGGCACUGAAACAAGGGCCCAGGCCCUACGGGGCGCAGCAGUCGCGAAAACUCACCAAUGCACGAAAGUGCGAGUGGGCCAUCCCGAGUGCCGUCCGCUGAGGACGGCUUUUCCCCAGUGUACACAGCUGGGGGAAUAAGGAGAGGGCAAGCCUGGUGUCAGCCGCCGCGGUAAUACCAGCUCUCCGAGUGGUGGGGACGCUUAUUGGGCCUAAAGCAUCCGUAGCCGGCUGGGCAAGUCCUCCGUUAAAUCCAACGAUUCAAUCGUUGGACUGCGGGGGAUACUGUCCAGCUUGGGGGCGGGAGAGGCCGACGGUAUUCCCGGGGUAGGGGUGAAAUCCUAUAAUCCCGGGAAGACCA
Molecule: ribosomal RNA, 570 nt
Filed under: uncultured archaeon
Lineage: Archaea
Description: bacterial SSU rRNA
Rfam family: Archaeal small subunit ribosomal RNA
Source: RNAcentral